RNAcentral lists this ribosomal RNA (400 nucleotides) under Terrihalobacillus insolitus. RNAcentral describes it as "Bacterial large subunit ribosomal RNA". It matches the Rfam family "Bacterial large subunit ribosomal RNA", at positions 2527 to 2925 of the family's 2925-position model. Lineage: Bacteria; Bacillati; Bacillota; Bacilli; Caryophanales; Bacillaceae. The record is from Rfam by way of RNAcentral.
CGAUGUCGGCUCAUCGCAUCCUGGGGCUGUAGUCGGUCCCAAGGGUUGGGCUGUUCGCCCAUUAAAGCGGUACGCGAGCUGGGUUCAGAACGUCGUGAGACAGUUCGGUCCCUAUCCGUCGUGGGCGUUGGAAGUUUGAGAGGAGCUGUCCUUAGUACGAGAGGACCGGGAUGGACACACCGCUGGUGCACCAGUUGUUCCGCCAGGAGCAUUGCUGGGUAGCUACGUGUGGUCGGGAUAAGUGCUGAAAGCAUCUAAGCAUGAAGCCCCCCUCUAGAUGAGACUUCCCAUCAUUUUAAAUGAGUAAGAUCCCUCAGAGACGAUGAGGUUGAUAGGUUCGAGGUGGAAGCGUGGUGACACGUGUAGCUGACGAAUACUAAUCGAUCGAGGACUUAACUAU